UGGGGAAUAUUGGACAAUGGGCGAAAGCCUGAUCCAGCCAUGCCGCGUGUGUGAAGAAGGCCUUUUGGUUGUAAAGCACUUUAAGCGAGGAGGAGGCUACUUGGAUUAAUACUCUAGGAUAGUGGACGUUACUCGCAGAAUAAGCACCGGCUAACUCUGUGCCAGCAGCCGCGGUAAUACAGAGGGUGCGAGCGUUAAUCGGAUUUACUGGGCGUAAAGCGUGCGUAGGCGGCUUUUUAAGUCGGAUGUGAAAUCCCUGAGCUUAACUUAGGAAUUGCAUUCGAUACUGGGAAGCUAGAGUAUGGGAGAGGAUGGUAGAAUUCCAGGUGUAGCGGUGAAAUGCGUAGAGAUCUGGAGGAAUACCGAUGGCGGAGGCAGCCAUCUGGCCUAAUACUGACGCUGAGGUACGAAAGCAUGGGGAGCAAACAGG
This 430-nucleotide ribosomal RNA is filed under the name Brucella melitensis. Its description in RNAcentral is "partial 16S ribosomal RNA". It matches the Rfam family "Bacterial small subunit ribosomal RNA", at positions 355 to 776 of the family's 1533-position model. The record is from RNAcentral. RNAcentral also lists the same sequence under 1 other name. Lineage: Bacteria; Pseudomonadati; Pseudomonadota; Alphaproteobacteria; Hyphomicrobiales; Brucellaceae.